Molecule: unclassified non-coding RNA, 228 nt
Filed under: uncultured Entoloma
Lineage: Eukaryota; Fungi; Basidiomycota; Agaricomycetes; Agaricales; Entolomataceae
Description: sequence contains ITS1
Source: RNAcentral
UUGAAUAAACUUGGCUGGGUUGUUGCUGGCUCUCAGGAGCAUGUGCACGCUCAUUCCAUUUUUAACCACCUGUGCACACAUUGUAGGCUUGAAUGAACUUUUCGAGGAAACUCGGUUUGAGAACUGCUACAAGCUGUUCUUGCAUUCCAAGUCUAUGUUUUAAACAUCAUACUCCAUAACAAGUUCCAGAAUGUUAAUUAUAGGCCUUCUGUGCCUUUAAACCUAAUA